UUAAAGGCUCUUGUGAUGCUUAUAUAUUCUUGGACUCAUCCAUCUAAAUACCAAGGUUUUUAGAUAGGAUUUUGAUGUAGUAUUGAAGCCCAUUGAUCCUUCUUGUCUACCAAAACCUUUAUGCUCCCACUUACUAAUCUACAUAUUGCUCCUCGUUUCAAGUUUUAUUACUCAGAUUCUACAUGUCAAAGGGAGUGUCUAUCUUGUCAAGUGGAGAAUAUCGGUUAUAUAUGCAUAUACAAAGUCACAGGGUGUUCACUCUGGCUUCUUCUAUUAGAAGAUGUUGGCCAUUGAAGGAGAUGUCAAGAACUGGCUCCAAGACUAAUUUCUGUUUUAGAUUUUCUUUUUUUUUUAUUUUUUGAGACAUGUAGUACCUUUUGGCUAUGCAUGACUAAUGACAAUAUCAAAGACUUUCUUUCUUAUAGACUAUGUUGACAAAUGUGAUACAUUGAGGAUUUAUAUUAGUGUAAUAUGAUUUUGGAUUUUAUAUGAUGGCAUAUUAAAUGA
Molecule: non-coding RNA, 507 nt
Organism: Elaeis guineensis (African oil palm)
Lineage: Eukaryota; Viridiplantae; Streptophyta; Magnoliopsida; Arecales; Arecaceae
Source: RefSeq, a predicted model, not a curated record